CACGACGUCCUUUGGACGUCCAAAAUAGGUCCAUUUUUGGUCCUUACGUCCAUGGACUAUAAACGGACGUCCUUUGGACGUCCCAUGUUGGACGUCCUUCGGAAGGAAUAAAUAUGGACGUCCUUUGGACGUCCGACGUUGGACGUCCUUCGGACGGAAUAAAUAUGGACGUCCUUUGGACGUCCGACGUUGAACGUCCUUUGGACGUCCAUACUGGACGAAAUACGGACGUUUUAUGAACGCUUAUAUAUUAUAUUGGACACAUUAUACCAAUUAACGGGAUCAAAUAGCAAAAUAAUUCAAUAAAAUAUUAACUUAGGCGUUAACUUUACGUUAAUGAAAUACAGUCAAACCUGUCAGUAACGGCCACUAAAAUGAAAGAACUAUUGGCCGAUAUAGAAAGGUGGCCGUUAUUGCCAGUUUUUGUAGUCUAGAUAUACAGUAAAACUUGUGUUACUGGCCACCUGUACUAACGGCCAGUUUAAAAAUUCCCCAAACCAAUUAUAUCUAGACUACAAAAACUGGCAAUACCGGUCACCUUUCUAUAUCGGCCAAUAGCUUUUUCAUUUUUAGUGGCCGUUACUGACAAGUUUUACUGUAAUUGGUUUGGGGAAUUUUUAAACUGGCCGUUAGUACAGGUGGCCGGUGUUUGCAGGGGGCCGGUAACACAGGUUUUACUGUAGUUUAAAUCGAAAAGAUUAAAUCUUAAUUCAAAAUUGUAUAUACAAUUAUUACAAUUAUAAACUAUAGUUUAAUAUCCAAAACAUGUUUUUGAUUUUAUGUAAUGUAAAGAAAAUCUUAUUUGUAAAUUAUUGGUUACAAUGUUUAACAAUAGGAAAUAUUCAAGAAUAAAUAAAAUAAAAGUUUAAUCCUAACAACACAAAACAUUCCAGGAAUGUAGGUAGGUACUACCGUUCUAUUCCGUGAACAUCUAUCUGAUUAAAUUAUGGGUGGAAAGUUACCACAAGAUAUUCUAUGUACAAUGUCUUCCUGGAGGGGUAAAAUUUUCCAUUACAAGAUUUUAAGAGAGGCCAUUUACUGUUCAAUUUGCGUUCAUUUUCAAAUUUGCCGCGCGAAUAUCUAUGUAGCGUCGCGUGGUCAUUGGUCAUCACAUUUCAUAUAAUUUCAUUUUCGUAAGAUAACCGAUAACCUAAAAAUUUAGUAAAAAUUUUGAUUGGAAAAAAAUGCAUCGAUAAGGGGGUGUGGGAAAUGGAAAUUAGUGGCUUUUUUGCUGUACUGUGUGCUAGUUUUUGCUCUGGGCUCUGGCUGGAUCUCUUGUUUAAACAAUUUUAAUCAGCUGAAAGUGGUCUACAAAAAAAAACAAGAAGGAAAUGUAUAGCCUUGUGGCUAUGAAAGGCAAAAGAGAGAUAUAAAAAGUGUAUUGGCUAGUUGGAAGAAAGUCCACAUUGUCCAUGCAUAAUAAGUUAUUACUUUAUCAACAAAUAUCAAGAAGAUAGCAGGAAGUCACGAGCAAUUGAACAACUUCAUAAGUUCAAGAAUAUCGAGGAAAUCCAGCUCCUCGAUACUACUGGGCAAACUAGAAGAUUGAAGAGGACAAAGCCUUUUGAACUAGUUUGAGUGAUAGGUGAUAGUGAAAAACGGAGCAUAGUGCUUGUGUGCUGUGCCUGUGUAUGUUAGAAUAGUGCACGAUCUUGUUAGAUUAGAUAAGAGACGCUAUGGGGUAAGCUCUUCAUUUUAAGAAACAGUAGUCAUUUAGGUUAAAUUAAAAUUGCUCCUUGGUCAGUUAUGACCAGAUUGUUUUUUUAUGUUUGGCAAAAAGGACUUAAGUCAGAAUUGCACAUUGAUAAAGUUUUGAUGAUUUCUGGACCAGAAAAAAACUGUUGUAGAUGUAAACUGUAUGUACAGUAGAAUCUACUACAGUACUGUAGAAAUCAUCAAAACAUUAUCGAUGUGCAAUUCUGACUUAAGCCCUUUUUCCCAAACAUUAGAGAAUUGUAAUGUACAAUAAUUCUCCUAUCUGCUUUUUCAUGAAUUUUGUAGGAGACGAAAAACCAUUUUUAGGAUCAUCUGCUUUCACAUGUAAAUUUUGACAUGUUUUGUAGUAAAUAGAUAGUUGAAUUUACUACAAAACAUGUCAAAAAAUAUAUGAAAACAGGAGGUGACUAUACAAGACUCAUGAAAAAACAAAUCGGAGGUAUGUCACAUCUGUGACUAUAUCCAGGGAAUGUCUAAAAAAUAUACUUUGAUGUCCCAAGAACCAAAUAUAACCUACAGUCCAUCUAAUUUACUUACUGUUGCACGUCAUUAUCUACGCCAGAGAUCUAAGUUGACAUAGUUGCCAAAGUAUAAAAAGAUCCUGAAUCCAUUUUAAAUCAAAUAUAUCACAUAAUUAUUGUAAACGUGGAUUAUACAACAAAACAAAUUAAUAUUCAAUGUAAAUAAGUAAAAACUUAAGAAAUAGAGAACAAGAAUUAAGUUAUAAUCUUUUAAGAUUUGCAGUGCAAGCGUUUUUGCACUGCAUUGUUAAUAAUUAAAAAACGGCUCCGAACUCUUGGCAAAAAGCCGGUAGGUUUCUUUGUAUAAGUAUGUCUACAAUAACAACUAAACAAGUUGUCAGAUACCACGAUGAUUAUUCCAAGUCGUUAUAAAAUUAGGUGAAAUUUAUAUUUUUAUAGUAGAGGAUCUUUUUAUAGUAAAGUAAAUAAUAAAGACAGUAAAUAUAAUAAAUAAAACAGAUACUUAUAGUAAAGAAUAUAAACAAAUAUGAAGUGUCAUCACCACAACUGUCAAAUAAAUGUUACCAAUUUAUUCUAAAAUGUCACCUUCGUUCGAUUACAGUUACAGUGUGAUCCGAACAAAUCUGCUUCAUAAAAACGCUUUAUAAUCCAUUUAUACAAAUUAAAUGAAACAUAUUAUUGUGUAUUUCUUUAGGUUAACAUUAAUAGAAAUCUUCAAAUAUUAUUUCUACGCGUAUAUAAUAAAAUAUGUCUAGAGUCUGUAUUUCCAGUGUACUCAGCAAAGUGAUUCUAAAAAAGAACACACCUACCGCCUAAAUAUGUCGUGUUGGUAUCAUGCGACCUCACAGACUACGACGCGGAUGACGCACAACAGUUAGUAAAUUAGACGAAGUAUGUAGAUAUAUACAGGGUGUAACAAAAAUACAGGUCAUAAAUUUAAUCACAUAUUCUGGGACCAAAAAUAGUUUGAUUGGACCUAACUUACCUUAGUACAAAUGUGCACACAAGAAAAGUUGCAGCCCUUUGGCUGCAACUAUCUUACGAAAAAACUAUAGUAAAAUUUGGACACCCCAUAAAAAUUUUAUGGGGGUUUUGUUCCUUUAAACCCCCCCAAACUUUUGUGCACGUUUCAAUUUAAUUAUUAUUGUAGUACCAUUUAAACACAACGUUUUAAAAACUUUUUUGCCUCUUAUUGCUUUUUCGAAAAGUCAAUUUUUAUCGAAAUAUUUUGAAUAUUUGUCAAAUCCACCACAUAUUUGUAUAUGGUUAAGUACGAUUAUGGAGACUUGGUAAUAAUAUGCAGACUUAUUUAUGCUUUACAUUUUUAGGUAUAUUUUGAACCAUAUUAAAAAAGAAGCCAGAUCUCGAUAAAAUGUGCCUUAUCGAAAAAAUACAAACAGGCAAAAAAGUUUUAAAAACAUUCUGUUUAACUAAUGGUACCUCAGUAAUAGUUUAAUUGGAACGUACACAAACAUUUGGGGGGUUUAAAGGAACAAAACCCCCAUAAAAUUUUUAUGUAGACAUGUUAAAAAAGAAGUCGCAACUCGAUAAAAACUGCCUUAUCUGAAAAAUACUAAGAAACAAAAAUAUUGAAUUUAACUAAUGGUACCUACCACAAUAAUAAAAUUGAAUUGGUACGUACACAAAAGUUUGGGAGGAUCUAAGGGAUCAAAACCCCCAUAAAAUUUUUAUGGGGUGCACAAGUUUCACCAUAAUUUUUGUUUAAGAUAUUCCUGCCAUAAUACUGCCACAUGUCCAUUUUCAAUAAAAAAUCGCUAAUAGUUUUCGAUAUAAUCGAAAAAAUCGAUUUUCAUUUUGUAAUUUCAAAGGGCUGUAACUUUUUUUAUGUGCAUAUUUGUACUAAGGUAAGUUAGGUUCAUUCGAACUAUUUUUGGUCCUAGAAUAUGUGAUUUAAUUUAUGACCUGUAUUUUUGUUACACCCUGUAUAUACAGCCGAUUACGCACCACCUUAAAAAUUGGGCAUUUUUGAUGUCUCGAAUUUCCUAAACCUGUUGUUGCAUCUAAGUGAUUUUUUUAUAAUAUUCUAGCCUAGGCCCUAGGCCAUAGGUUAAGUACCUCCUUAUGCUUGUCAUGCACGGGGAGCUAUACUGUAAUAUAUAUUAUAUCACACCGCUCUCUAUAGUAAUGAGUGAGCCUGUAGGUACAUACGGAACCAUUUGUUUCCUGUCUGCAGGCUCACUCAUUACUAUAGAGAGCGAUAUGAUAUAAUGUACAUAUAUUACAGCAUAGCUCCCUGUGCGUGACAAGCUUAAGGAGGUAACCUAUAGCCUAGGCUAUAAUAUUAUAAAAAAAUCACUUAGAUGAAACAACAGGUUUAGGAAAUACGAGACAUCAAAAAUACCCCAUAUUUAAGGUGGUGCGUUAAUUUCUUGGAGAAGUGUAUUGUAAUUUAAUGUAAAUAAUGUAAUAUCCAAUAAUUGUAAUUUAAUAUAAGAUGUAAUAUAAGUUCCUUAAAAAAUAUAUUUUUUAUUUCCCACGACAUUAGAUGGAUGUUCGGCAGCAAGACAUUGGACCAAACUAAGACGUCCUAUGAAGGCCCAAUUGACGUCCACUGAACGUCCCUUCGGAUGUUAAGUGGACCUCCAUUGGACGUUUGGCAACGUGGCAUUUGGACCAAAAUUGGACGUCCUGUUAAUGUCCAAUUCACGUCCCCUAGGACGUCCGGUUAAGGUCCAAUUUACUUCCGAUUAAGGUCCAAUUUACGUCCGAUUAAGGUCCCAUUUACGUCCGAUUAAGGUCCAAUUUACGUCCUAUUAAGGUCCAAUUUACGUCCGAUUAAGGUUCAAUUUACGUCCGAUUAAGGUCCAAUUUAUGUCCUAUUAAGGUCCAAUUUACGUCUGAUUAAGGUCCAAUUUACGUCCGAUUAAGGUCCAAUUUACGUCCCCUAGGACGUCCGAUCAAGGUCCAAAUUACGUCCGAUUAAGGUCCAAUAUACGUCCCCUCGGACCUUAGAUGGACGUCCAAUGGACGUUCGGUAGCGCGACAUUUGGACCAAAAUAGGACGUAUAAAGGACGUUCCUCGGACGAAAACGGACGUCCAAUGGACGUCCCUAAAGUCCG
Diabrotica virgifera virgifera (western corn rootworm) is the source of this 5279-nucleotide long non-coding RNA. RefSeq lists it as uncharacterized. NCBI's taxonomy places the organism in Eukaryota, Metazoa, Arthropoda, Insecta, Coleoptera, Chrysomelidae. The record is from RefSeq and is a predicted model, not a curated record. The transcript is spliced from 3 exons.